RNAcentral lists this transfer RNA (69 nucleotides) under Mesocricetus auratus (golden hamster). It matches the Rfam family "tRNA". Rfam says of the family: Transfer RNA (tRNA) molecules are approximately 80 nucleotides in length. Lineage: Eukaryota; Metazoa; Chordata; Mammalia; Rodentia; Cricetidae. The record is from Rfam by way of RNAcentral.
AGAGAGGUGACUCAGUGGUUAAGAGCACUUGCUCUUGCAAUGGACCUGGGUUCAAUUCCCAGCUCACUA